AGAAGCCGCAGGCACAGAGGAAAGAAAUCGAAACAGAGAUGAGAGAAGGAAGGAAGGAGAAAAAAAAAAUAGAGGAAAGGAAGGAAUAAGUGUUGGUUUUCAACUUUCAUUCACUAAUUCUCUUUAUUCUAUUUUCAAGAGGGAAUAUUGGUCUUUGGUAGUUUGAGGAGCUUGGUGAUUUCAAAGUUAGAGCCACACGACGUGUUGAAGGAUAUGAGUCAAAUAUGAUUAAACCACAAAGUAAAGUUUUGGGCCCAUUGCACUAUGUUUUUAUAAACAUUUAACUUUAUUGCAUAUCUUGUAGUAACUAAUAGUGAGCCUUGAUAAUGGAUUUGACAUCUAGUCAGCAUCUAUUAUCAGCGCAUGCCACAUUUCGGGUCCACUAGGGUGAUUCGGGACCAGUCGUGUCAUGGUUUUAAAAAUUUUUAUGGUUCGUGCAUGUUCAGUAGGUAUGUUUACAUGUCGUGGUGGCAGAAAUCACAAGCUCUCUAACUCGAAUGUUUGGAACAAAAAAUGAUAGAUAUUUUUUUUUUUUUUUUUACAGAUUUAGAAAUGACUAGUAUGUAAGUGUGGUAGUUGUAGUGAUCCGAUGGUUGGAAAUGUUAUAAGUUGUUGGGUUGGAACUAUGUGUGUGUAACCUAUUAAGAUUUGAAUAGAUUGUGAUGAUUUUACGGGCAUUCGAAGUUAUAGAUGUUACAAUCACUUAAUUAUCAAUUUAUUUGUAGAACUA
This is a long non-coding RNA of Olea europaea var. sylvestris, 730 nucleotides long. RefSeq lists it as uncharacterized. The record is from RefSeq and is a predicted model, not a curated record. Lineage: Eukaryota; Viridiplantae; Streptophyta; Magnoliopsida; Lamiales; Oleaceae. The transcript has 2 exons.